Molecule: ribosomal RNA, 248 nt
Filed under: uncultured bacterium
Lineage: Bacteria
Description: partial 16S ribosomal RNA
Rfam family: Bacterial small subunit ribosomal RNA
Source: RNAcentral
UGGGGAAUCUUGCGCAAUGCGCGAAAGCGUGACGCAGCAACGCCGCGUGGGGGAAGACGGCCUUCGGGUUGUAAACCCCUUUCAGUUGGGACGAAGCUUCGACGGUGAAUAGCCGGCUGGAGUGACGGUACCUUCAGAAGAAGCCCCGGCUAACUACGUGCCAGCAGCCGCGGUAAUACGUAGGGGGCAAGCGUUGUCCGGAAUCAUUGGGCGUAAAGAGCGUGUAGGCGGUUCAGUAAGUCUGUCUG